This is a long non-coding RNA of Ricinus communis (castor bean), 1346 nucleotides long. RefSeq lists it as uncharacterized. NCBI's taxonomy places the organism in Eukaryota, Viridiplantae, Streptophyta, Magnoliopsida, Malpighiales, Euphorbiaceae. The transcript is spliced from 2 exons. The record is from RefSeq and is a predicted model, not a curated record.
CAAACUUGCAGUAGCCAACCUAUAUGAGCCAACAGCCACUAAGAUGUUUUGAAUUUGUCCCAAACCACAUUAGCUCCAUUAAACGUAUACUCCGGAGAGGGCAAAGAAUUAGCAUGGCUGACACGCACAAAAUCGAUAAAUGGAUGAUGAAUUAAUAGCAGCAAGUUCGUUGCAAAACGAUCUUGAUUUCUUGCAAGUAAGCAUCAAGAGCAGUUUGAUGCUCGUCUCUCUUGACUUCUUAGAAUCGACACCUGCAAGUGCAGUAAAUCUCGAGCCCACCAAGCAGUAAAUCUCUUUGGACGAGUUUGCAUGUCAUUCUUUUGCAAAAGUUCUGCAAACAUCUCUGAAAGUUUCAAGUCCACCAAGAAGACUUCGAAACCUCUGAGGUUAAUUUAUUAGCAUAUCAGUCUUCUUGGAGCCAUUUGAGGUAAGCAAGGCUGGAAAUUUCCUUGCCUUCAGGUGAGAUUACUUUGAUUUGAGAACCUCUUUAUCAUCAAAAAUGUUCCCAGUGACUGUUAUGCCUAGAUGCAGUGAAUCAGAAAACUUGGAAAGAAUUACUUAAAUAUCUCUCAGUUAAGUGUUACGUUUUGCUAUAUUUAUAAUUGUUCAAAUUAUGCAAUUUUAAGUAUCAAACUUGUUUAUAGCAUAAUUUUAAGUAUAUAAUACACGCUAAUAAUCAUAAAAAAAAUUUCAAAUAGUCAAUGAUUUGCCAAGUGUUUGCAAUAAUUGUUUGUGCCUCAUUGAUGACGUCUAGGGUUGCAUAAAAAAUGGACUAAAAUUUUCGAAUGGACCAAGAUGGAAAAAUGACUAUCGAUUUAGGACUAAAUCUUGUAUGUAUGUUCAUCCUGCUAAAUAGUUUGCCUUUUGAGCUGGGUCGAAAUUCUUUUAGCUUUCAUCUUUGCCUUUCUAUUUCUCUUUUUAAUUUCCUAUGAAGAAGUUCUCUAAGGGAAUCAAAUAAAUGAAGAAGAAGAAUAAGAAGAAAAGAGUUGCAUCUAGAAUCAGUUUCCUGUUUAAAAAAAAUGCUGGAGUUGACCUGAGAAAUGGUAGUUGGGUCAUAGACCGAGCAGUAGCCUAGCCUCUGAUCUAUUCCAAGUGCCCGGGUGGUCCAGGCUUACGAAAGUGGGUUGGUUGAGUCCACAAAAUGGAUAUGGGUCAGAGCGAUGCACGCUUACUCAGAUGACUGGUCCUGGCCCAUGCUGUCUCUGGCAAAUAGAUACGAGAAAGGAAAAUAUGUCAUUUUUUCUUUUUCUAUUUUUUUUUUCUGUUAAAGAAAAUAACACACUAUACUCCGUUUUCGGUUUUAUUACAAAAACACAUCAUGAAUUUAAUUUUUAUAUUUUAACAUU